AGAGUCCUAUGAUGACCGUUUCAACUUUAACGUUUUGAGCCAACACUUAAACAUAGGGAGCUCGCGGUUACGUUUUAUCCCCAAUAACAUGCCUUGCUAAGCUGAAGGACGUUAGCGGAGAUAAACAGAGCACCCACCUGCCCAUGCAGGUUCAAACCAAAAGGGUCAAGACGGCAUACACGGGACUCUU
RNAcentral lists this non-coding RNA (190 nucleotides) under Actinophytocola xinjiangensis. RNAcentral's name for it is "6S / SsrS RNA". It matches the Rfam family "6S / SsrS RNA". From Rfam's summary of the family: E. coli 6S RNA was the first non coding RNA to be sequenced, but its function was unknown until recently. It consists of 184 nucleotides that fold into an extended hairpin structure with a large single-stranded internal bulge. The record is from RNAcentral. RNAcentral also lists the same sequence under 1 other name. Lineage: Bacteria; Bacillati; Actinomycetota; Actinomycetes; Pseudonocardiales; Pseudonocardiaceae.